Molecule: long non-coding RNA, 1113 nt
Organism: Rhincodon typus (whale shark)
Lineage: Eukaryota; Metazoa; Chordata; Chondrichthyes; Orectolobiformes; Rhincodontidae
Exons: 3
Source: RefSeq, a predicted model, not a curated record
AGAUUGCAAGAACACAGUGAGGGAGCUGGAAGUCUUGUGGAGUCUUUGAAAACAGCUGUUGUGAAAACACAUUCUGUUGUUUACUCUGUAUAGUAAAGAUUUCUCCAGAGUUCCUGAAUCAGCUAAGCCAUUAGCAACCUCCGAACUCCUAGCCUUCAAAAUUCCAGCCUCGGACCUCACGACUUCUGAACUCCUGGCUUCAGAACUCUCAGCCUUGGAUCUCACGGCCUCCGACUUGCAGGCUCGGAACUCUCAGCCUCAGCACAGACCCGACGAGGCGUCCUCUUGGACUGUUAUGAUGGUCUGCCGGCCCAGCAUGGCUUCGGCAUGAACUUCUGUCUCAAGGUGAUUCCAGAGCAUUCUCCUGGCCUCAUGAACCCUGAGCUGAAGCCAGGCAUGGUCUGGAGUUGAAGCCCAGUGCAAACUGGAGGCUAAGUGCCAGCAUGAACUGGGUAGGAAGACCUGUUCUGAACUUUUUUCUCCAUUUUAUAAUUUAUUCCAAUAAUCUGCAGUGCUGGACUUUGUAUUUUGACCUCAAUUCUUCCAAAGAACUGUAACUGAAAAAGCUGUACUUGGGGACCACUGUAAGUGGUGACUUGUACACUUAAGGGUCACUGGACCCAAAAUGUUAACUCUGAUUUCUCUUCACAGAUGCUGCCAGACUUGCUUAGCUUUUCCGGCACCUUCUGUUUUUGUUUCUGAUUGACAGCGUCUGUAUUUCUUUUGGCUUUAAUUUAGUAUUUCACUGUAUUCAUUUGAGUACAUAGGAUAACAAAGCUAAUUCUGAUUCUGAUAUAAGAGAUCUGAGUGAUUCAUUGGCCCCUUCCUGUUCUUAUAUUCCAAAUAAACCAGAACCCAAACACAACUGAUGAACAGAACGACAUAAGAGCUGGGGACAAGACACGGCAACAGGAAACCAGACCUUGUGCAAAGUUUGUGAGUGGGGGAUGUCUGGGGAGAAUGUACAGAAAAACUGGAAUAGGUCAUUCAGCCCCUUUCAGACUGCUCAGCAUUUCAGUUAGACCCAGACUAAAGGACAAAUAGUCUCCUUUUUUCAGUGAAUCCCUACAGUGUGGAAACAGGUCCAUCGGCCCAACAAGUCCACACCGAACC